Long non-coding RNA from Tympanuchus pallidicinctus (lesser prairie-chicken), 5638 nucleotides. RefSeq lists it as uncharacterized. Lineage: Eukaryota; Metazoa; Chordata; Aves; Galliformes; Phasianidae. The record is from RefSeq and is a predicted model, not a curated record. The transcript has 3 exons.
CCUUACCCCAGCCAUCCCCUGCCCUUUCCCCAGCUGCACAGGAGCAUGCUGCUCACCACCUCUGCUCCGUAAGCACGACCCAGGAGCUCCCUCCUGCUUUUCCAGCAGCUCUUUCCAGCACUUUUUAGGACCAUUGCUCUGCACAGGGCAGGAGGCAGCCCUCAUUUGCGCUUAGAAGGGUUCGCAGGGCAGGAAGGAGCCAAUGGCCCCUCGGAGACGUGGGGAGCAGCCCCCCCUGGAGCCAGCAGUGUGCGCGGGGGCUGAUGGAGAGCCCGAGGGAAGCACAGCUGAGCCGUCACCUGUUGGAGCUCAGACGGCCACAGCUGCGCCCGCCGCUUUGAACACUCUGGAUUAGGCAGACGAGUGCCCCGCACACACUUGUGCUCUGCAUGCCAAUGCCUUCCUCCUCCUCCUCCUCCUCCUCCUGCAGCCUCCCUCCUCCCAGUGCACUGCUGGAGCUGCAUGCAUGGCACAGGGUCUCAAACUGACAGAGCAGUGGAGGCACCUGCAAUGAAGAUAAGCUGACAAAACAUUCAGUGCUUGAGGAGCUUCCUUUCUGCUUUUGGCCCUAGCGUGAGCAAAAUGUGGGGUCUCCAGGAGGUGCCUCAGCUCACCCAUAUGGUUCAUCACCACCUGAGCUGCAAAGUGCUGCUCGGAGGUCAGGAUGUGCCCUCUGCCAUUCCAAGAGGAGAGGGAUCACUCUGGCUCUGGGUUGUCGGAUUUUUGCCUUUUUAAAGCUUUCCUCCCUGUGCCAUGCUUCUGAAAUCGCCCCAUCUCGCUAUCUGCUCCCCAUGCUCAUGCGUUGGGUCUGUUUAAGAGCAGGGCUGUAACAUUAACGAGAUUUAUGGCCGACUCUGGAGUGGAAGGGCAGAGAGCCGGGUGUUUUUUUCUUUUUCCUCAGGUGAAAGAAAACCUCGAAUGUUAACUCACGAGACAUUACAACGACUGCUCCUUCAAUCCUUGAUUUACGAGCUCAAAUUUAUGAGUUAAAAAUUAUUAUUCCACUCGCAUAUAUUUUUUCCCCUGGUCGUUUUAGUGCUUGUGAAAGGUGAGGGUUUUGACAGCUCCUGGAAACAAAAGCCUUUAAUAUCUCCCUGAGCGAGGCUCUCCCAGGCCAGAAGAGAUCUGCCAGCGGCUUUUCCUCGCCGCCGCAGAUAUUGCUCUCUCCAGCCCUGGCUUAUCCAAACAGAGAGGACUUUAGCAGGAGAUAAGGAAGGGCUGAUGAGCAGCGUCUGUCCUUCGUGCCUCCGGGAUCCUCCUCCGCAUCCGGAGUCAGGCUGGAGACAGCAGCUGCCACAAGGAUGCCCGCCACAGUUUUGGUUUGGGGCUUUUUUUUUUCCAGGCUCUUUAGCAGGGCAUAUAUAGGAGCCCUGCUUCUGUUGCUUGCAGCAAAUGGAUAAAAUUGGGCAUAGCACUGAGUUUUUAGUAAAUAAGUUGUGUAUUUCCCUAAUGCCAUGAGCAGCACACUGCAGCGAGCUGUGCCUGCUUGCCCUCCUCCUCCAGGGCAGCUCCAGAUUUCCCUGAUCCCAUUGGAAAACUUUCUGCUCCAAAAGAGCAGUCAGGCACUGUCGCUGCUGCACCAGGAUGUGGUGGGGUCACCAUCCCCAGAAAUGUUCCAGAACCACAGGGAUGUGGCACUCAGGGAUGUGGUCGGUGGGCAUGGUGGGAUCUGAGAGGGCUUUUCCAACCUGAAUGACUGUGAUUCUGUAAUGAAGGACCCACCCCAUCCCCAAGCAGUACCAGCAGCUCAGGCUGAAAGCGGGCAGCAGCCUUUAAAAGGUGACAUCCAUGAAAUGCCAAGGAGCAAAUAUAUUCUCUUUAAAGCAUGUGUCACUCAGUUUCUUAGAGAACCCAGGGAUUAAAACCUCCAUGGAUCUGAGGAAACAGUGCCAGAGCCCCUGCUGCACUUCAUCAGAGUACAUUUUUGACAAAGCUUUUCUCAUUCAAUAACAAUUUAGUUGACCAAAAACUGAAUCCAAAAGGACAAGCAACUCUGUGGCAUUUUUGUUGCAUUUUCAGCAUUUUUUCAUGUCUGUUUGCCGUCUGCUGCCUUAGCAAUGGGAAGGUGGUGGUGGUGAUGUGCUGGAGGGAAAGUGAGAGCCCCAAAAAACAGCUGGGAGUGACGGGGUGCAUCCCAGCCAUGGUGGCUGCUGUCCCCAUCUCACCAUGCUGCAGAAGAUACUUCUAGACUUACUGGUCAGGAAAACAAAAUGUUGGGGUUUGAGCUGUUGGAAUGCCAAAGCAGAAAGGCCGUGCUUGAGCCGCUUGAGAGAGGAAUAUUUGGGAGUGGAAUAUUUGAGCUUUGUAUGGACAGAAUCUGCAGGCACUUCUCCAUGUGAGUCCUUAUGGGGCCGGUCUGUCCUGGGGUGCAUUUUUGUCCCAUUCUCUGCCCAUGGAUAGACCAGGUGUCUCACUUACUGCAUCCUGCUUCCUUCGGGGGCAAGAGGAGUUUGAGGCAGAACAAGUACUGCUGGGUGUCCAGCUUCACGCAUCCCUAUCUAUGCCUGUCUCCUCCUGUCCUCCCACAGAGCGCACUGAGGGAUCCCUGGGAUCCAGCACAGCCCUUGCGUUCUCCAUCCACGCACCACAAGGAUCUCUCCUGGUGAUUCCUGCUGCUGGAUGAGCUGAGGCUCAGGGCCGGGUGAUGUGAAGCUGUGAGCUGCUGAGGUCAGGUGUGGGCAGGAGGGCUCCAGGCUGGCUGUGCAGUCAGGUCUGAGCCGGGCCCAACACGUGCAUCAUCCACAGGAGCAGGCAGCCAGCGUUCCCACCGCGCGUGUCACGGUUCCCAGGAUAACCAAGGCAUCCAUACAAACAAAACACAGAAACCCUCCGUCUCUCCGGAGACAAGUCACAAACACAGAGCCAGGCCAAGCCCAUUGAUGGAGCUGCACGCAGUGAAUCACCCACCCAGCUGCAGCCGAAACAAUUUGGGUCAAAUAUACACUCUGGCAAAACUCCACUGCCUUAUCUCGUGCUUUGCUUGCUGUACCUCAGCUCAAGGUUUGCUUUGCGGCGCUUUCAGCUGGCUGCAGAGUGCUCAGUGCUGAGGGUGGGCACUGCUUGUGCUGUUACCUGCUUGGAUGCUUUUAUUCCUAUUAGUGAUGAUGACAUUUUCCUUCCUGGCUGACGUUCCCUGCAGCUGAGCACAGAGGAUAGAGACAUUCACGAGGAGCUGCACUGAACUCUGCCUGUUCCCAGGGGCACUGAAGAGCACUCAGACCACCAGCAGCUGUGGAGGUGGACUGGGACCUUCCCAGUGCAGGGCUGGGGCUGUGCCCAUCUCCAUGCAGGGCUGCACUGAGCUCCGAGCACUGCUCCUGCUCCAUGAGUGUGGGCCCAGAGGACCUUCCUCCAAGAUUACAUCAGUAGCAUGAGGAUGCUGAGUGUACUGUCUGGGAAUCUAGAAGACGAGGGCUGUUUUGUUGUGUUUUUUUUUUUUAUUUUUUUAUUUUUUUUUUUUUGAGAUUAUGUAUAUGAUAAACUAUGUUCUUCUGACUCUCUCUUUUGGGCUGCUUGCAGAAGGGAUGUGCUGCAAUAGGAACGUUGCGUGGUUCACCCAUACCUGGGACAGUUUUCUUUGAUGGGACAGGAGCAGGGCUGGGCUUGAGGCUUCUGCCCCGUUUGAUCCCAGUUGUACAGAUGGAAACCACAGGGAGGAACAUGCACGGUGCUGCCCUCUCUGCUGAUGGGGUCACGGCAGGAGCUGGGCUGCAGUGGGAUGCUGUGCUUGUGGGUACUACUGUGAGGAUGCUGAAAGCAGCAAAAAGCUCAGCAUGGCUUUAUUUGUGCUGUGCAGAUCUCCUUGUAGCUGUUUAUGGAGGUUUGGGUGCCCUAUCCCUAGAAGUCCCUGAGGCCUUAGAAGGGCUCCGGGCAGCCUGAGCUUGGAGAGGGGGGGAAGGAGGGGAGCAGCCAGCCCAUGGCAGGGGUGGUGCUGGGAGAUCCCUUCCAACCCAACCAUUAUGUGAUUGUAUGACAGAUUUCAGUAGAUCUGGGAUGUAGCUUUGUACGACAAGAGAAUGUGGUGUUUCCAGUUUCUUAGCAUGGGAUUUUACCCCAUGAUAGACAGUGAGGUGGGAGAAGGCUUAUUAGGACAAGCUGCUUCUCCCCAACAGCGGUCAGGCACUGGCACUGCUGCCCAGGCAGGUGGGAGGGAGGGGUUAAUGUCCCUGUGUAUGGGAACUAUUGAAUCACAGCAUCAACCACUGAUUGAGCACCUGGGGAAAGGACCUGGUCAAUCCUGGGAGCAGAGGCGAAGGCAAUUCAGCUGCGUGACCAGACGGGGUGGAACCUGGCUGCAGCUCUCUUAGACCCCAUUUAAGGGCUGACUGCCACUGGGGAGGGGUCUUUUUCUGGACAUCCCUCCCUGGUGAAGCUUUCCCCUGUGAACCUUGAAUCUUCUGAUACAACUAUCUUUAUUCAAAGGGAGGGAGCUCCUUGAGUGGAUGUGGGGGAUAACUGAUCCUGCAUAACUGAUUAGAUAUCUAUUGGUGAAAGGAAACUGAAGAAAAGUCACACCUGAAACAGAGAAACCCAGAGCGAGAGACACAGCCCUGCUGUACACAGGAAAGCUCAGAGCAUCACCAGCCCAAGAAAUGCCCUGGCUGCGUUCAUACCCAGCACAAGGCUAUGUGAAGGGGAGAUGCCCUCACCUUUCAGGAUGGGAGAUGCUGCAGAUCCUCAGGAUGUUUUGGGGUGCUGCAGUGGGACAGGAGCUGCAGAGCCAGCAUGAGGUUCUGCGGGGUGGUGCAGCAAGGUGAGGGGAAGCUGUCUGUGCAUGAGGACUGCAAUAUUGAGACAGAGGCUUGGCUGUUGCACUUCUUAUGCAGUCAUGCUGCAGCUUAGCAAAAGGAGCUUCUAUUAUUUUUAUGAUCGAUUUAGUUCUGCCUAUUGCUUGAGGAGAGUGAUGCCCUGCACCGCUGCUUGUGGCGGGCAGCACUGCCCUCUAGUGCGGCUGUACCUGUUGGCUGAAUGCUGGGGUUGGUGGGUUUUUUAAUGUUUCUUUCCUUGUUUUUGGUUUUUGUUUUUGUUUUUUUUUUCUUUUGGUUGGUUUUGGGUUUUUUUAGUCUGUUUUUGUUGUGUUUUUUUUUUAAUGGAAAAAUAAGGGUCACUGCUACAAAGGCUGAGGGAGCUGGAGUUAUUCAGCAGGGGAAAGGACGGCUCCAAGGGGAGCUGAUUGCAGCCCUUCAGGAGCUUAUAAACAAGAGGAGGAAGAACAACUUUUUACAUGGGCAGACAGAGAUAGGACAAGGGAGAAUGAAUCAUAGAAUCAUUCAGAUUGGAAAAUACCAACCAUGAAGUCCAACCAUUAACCCACCCCCACCACAUCCUUGGGCAGGAAGAUGUAGCCGGGGGAAUCAGCAAGGGAUGAUUAGAGACCCUCUUCUGUUUCCCAGCUUAAGUAUAUCUGUGCUUGCAACUUCCUCAGAGGAUGAGGAAUGAUAGAAUUGAGUUGGAAGGGACCUCUAAAGGCCAUCUGGUCCCAUUCCCUGCACUGAGCAGGGACACCCAGAGCUCCAUCAGUGCUCAGAGCCCUGUCCAGCCUGACUGUGGGUGCCUGCAGGGAUGAGGCACCGCCACUGGUCUGGGCACCCUGUGCCGUUCCUCACCACCCUUAGCAUGAACAAUUUCCUCUUUAUAU